Molecule: ribosomal RNA, 488 nt
Filed under: uncultured bacterium
Lineage: Bacteria
Description: partial 16S ribosomal RNA
Rfam family: Bacterial small subunit ribosomal RNA
Source: RNAcentral
GACGAACGCUGGCGGCGUGCUUAACACAUGCAAGUCGAACGGAAAGGCUCUGCUGUUUUCGCGUGAACGACUGACGGGCGAGUGAGUAACAAGCAAGUAACCUGCCCUUGACAUUGACAUAGCUUAAGGUAAGUGAGGAUAGCACCGGAUAGGAGAUAGUACUGCAUGGUGGAGGGAGGAAUGAUUGGGCGUUUGGGUAUGGACUUGCGCGUUCUCUGCUUGUUGGUGGGGUAGUGGCCUACCAAGGCGUCGACGGGUAGCCGACCUGUGAGGGUGAUCGGCCACACUGGAACUGAGACACGGACCAGACUCCUACGGGAGGCAGCAGUAGGGUAUGUUCGGCAAUGGGCGAAAGCAUGACGGAGCAAGGCCGCGUGAGAGAAGAAGGCUUUCGGUUCGUAAUGCCCUGUUGUUAGGGAAGAAUCGAUUUGGACUAAGACGAGGCGUGAGUGACGGUACCGGGUCAAGAAGCACCGGCUAACUACGUG